GCACCGGUGGUGUGUGGCACACCCGCUGAUAAAUUAUGUUGGUCGUGUAAACGACGGCGAGUUGGGGUUCGAUUCCCCACCGGUGUA
Mycena olivaceomarginata is the source of this 87-nucleotide non-coding RNA. The record is from the annotation of a GenBank genome assembly. Lineage: Eukaryota; Fungi; Basidiomycota; Agaricomycetes; Agaricales; Mycenaceae.